GCGGCCGUAACUCAGUUGGUAGAGUGCCUGCCCUCCAAGCAGGUUUGUGCGGGUUCGAGCCCCGCCGGUCGCUCCA
Molecule: transfer RNA, 76 nt
Filed under: Caudoviricetes sp.
Lineage: Duplodnaviria; Heunggongvirae; Uroviricota; Caudoviricetes
Description: tRNA-Gly
Rfam family: tRNA
About the family: Transfer RNA (tRNA) molecules are approximately 80 nucleotides in length. Their secondary structure includes four short double-helical elements and three loops (D, anti-codon, and T loops).
Source: RNAcentral